GCCCGCCUGGCCCAACGGCAGAGGCGCCGGCCUCAAAAGUCGGAAGGUCCGGGUUCGAUUCCCGGGGCGGGCA
This 73-nucleotide transfer RNA is filed under the name Arthrobacter caoxuetaonis. RNAcentral's name for it is "Arthrobacter sp. zg-Y453 tRNA-Leu". It matches the Rfam family "tRNA". Rfam says of the family: Transfer RNA (tRNA) molecules are approximately 80 nucleotides in length. The record is from RNAcentral. Lineage: Bacteria; Bacillati; Actinomycetota; Actinomycetes; Micrococcales; Micrococcaceae.